This 253-nucleotide ribosomal RNA is filed under the name uncultured bacterium. RNAcentral's name for it is "partial 16S ribosomal RNA". It matches the Rfam family "Bacterial small subunit ribosomal RNA", at positions 524 to 776 of the family's 1533-position model. The record is from RNAcentral.
UACGAGUGGCCCAAGCGUUAUCCGGAAUUAUUGGGCGUAAAGGAUGUGUAGGUGGUUAUAUUAGUCCGGUGUCUAACCUCUGAGCUCAACUUGGAGACAGCAUUGGAAACGGUAUAGCUAGAGUAUGUUAGGGGUAAGCGGAACUCAUAGUGUAGGGGUGAAAUCCGUUGAUAUUAUGGGGAACACCAAAAGCGAAGGCAGCUUACUAGACUGUAACUGACGCUGAGGCACGAAAGUGUGGGGAUCAAACAGG